ACCAGCUGUGUACCUCUCUGGACUGAUGACAGAACCCUCCUUGCAAGUUGGCUUGUGAGCUCAAGCCUAUCAAAUACCUACUGAAAAGGCCCUGUGACACUGAUCAUCUCUACAUGGCAGUUUCUCUUCUCACUCACAGUGGCCACACUUGCAGACUUCCAUUGUGGACAGAUGCCUAUGUCAACGAUGCCGCUGCCAUUUCUGCUUGUUGUUCUGCCCCACGAAUGAGACUGAUGUUGCCACCACAGCCUGAUGUCCCUGUCCAUAUCCCCGUCUCUAAACGGGUGGCCAUUCCCAGUGCAUUGCAUCUUUUAAUACUUUUUCUGCUUUGGCUUCUUCUUUCAAGACGUGAGCAUUCAUCUGUGAAGCUGUUUUGAAGCUCAGGAUCCAUCCCUCAUAAUCACCUUGACUCAUGGACUAAGAACAGCAUUGCCUUUCUGAGACACAUCAGCCAUGCUCCUAGAUUUCCUUCACACCCUGUUAUUUAGAAACUAUCUUACUUAUCUGAGCCAUGGUCUUGGUUCAGGCCAUUUACAAAAGAAUGGGUUGUUCUCAACUUGCCAUUUAUAAAUUUCAGGUAAAUUCUGAAAAUUGUCAGACCAGUUAUUUAGAAUUUGGGCCUUAUAUCCCAUAGCUACAAAAUCACACAUAAUGGCAAAGCUCCCAGGCCAGCCCACAAAAGCCUACUUAUCCAGAAUUGAAGCAAAAAAGCCCCACAGUCUAACCACGAGUACCAGUGGGUUUCCACUGGAAUGUGUCUUAUACCCACUGGGAAGCCGAGGAGGCAGGGUGAAAUGAAUCCCGAGGUUACAGCUAUUUCAUUGUGGGGAUUCUGCAGCUGGGUAUCAGUAAACCAGGCCCUCGAGAGUGGAGAUGUUCACUGAGUGAUUUAUCAAGUCCUGGGACGUUCCGAAGGAAUUUGUAUAACUAUAAUUUAGUUCCACAGACCUAAAGCUUUGAUUUAAUACCUUCUACCUAAGCACUGUAAUGUUUGUGUUCUUGGGAUAGGGCUGAAAAUCCUAAAUCAGAGAGGACGCAGGCUGGGUUCAGGUGGCACUGGUGUCUGGAGACGGGCUGUGGACGGGCACACGUGUAGUAGCUGCGGU
Long non-coding RNA from Fukomys damarensis (Damara mole-rat), 1106 nucleotides. RefSeq lists it as uncharacterized. The record is from RefSeq and is a predicted model, not a curated record. NCBI's taxonomy places the organism in Eukaryota, Metazoa, Chordata, Mammalia, Rodentia, Bathyergidae. The transcript has 3 exons.